Molecule: long non-coding RNA, 1182 nt
Filed under: Equus asinus (donkey)
Lineage: Eukaryota; Metazoa; Chordata; Mammalia; Perissodactyla; Equidae
Description: lncRNA (ENSEASG00005038322.1)
Source: RNAcentral
AUAUUUGUAGGGCAGGGAACUGGGUAGGGUCAGCUGGUGAUUUUUCUGCUUCACUCGGUGUGGACAGAAGGCAUUCAGUGUUAAUCAGCUGACUGACUAGGAGAGUCCAAGAUGGCGUCACUCACAUGUCUGGGGCCUUGUGGGGACGGCUAGAAGCCUGGGCUCAGCAGGGACUGUCCACUGAGUGCUUCCUUGUGGCCUGUCCGGCACGGAGGCCUUGGGCUAGUUAGAAUUCUCACAUGGCAGCUCAGAGCUCCAACAGUGAGUGUUCAGCAAACAAAGCAGACGCUGUAAGCCCCUUUAUGACAGCCUGGGACGUCAGCUGCUCUGUCAGUCGGGGCAGCCUCAAGCCUUCCCAGAUUCAAGUGAGCUUCGUGGGAGAUGUAGUGUAGAAUUCGUGGCCAUAUUUUCCUAUUGCCCCUUUACCCCACGUUCCUAACUAUGGAUGGGCAUUUCCACUUCUCUUCCCUCAAAAAGGGCCACACACAGCUGAUACCAUGGGCCCUAGGAGAAGGACACCUGGCGAGGACAUCUAAUCCUGUCUGGCAGGAACAUUUGAGACUCAGGACUCCUGAAAGUUUACUUACCUCAUCCCUCCGCUUUCAGCCAACUCUUGCUGACAGGCUCUUCCAGAGAAAGUUUGCCCUGUGACCUGAGCCAGAACACACCCCAACCCUCUCUGGAGAGAAGCAGAGUCAAGGAAAGAAGAGAUUUCAUAGUGUGGACAGUGUUGGUUCUUCAGCGCCGAGGCCUCUCGAGUGUUGGUUUGCGUUUCUCACAGGCGGAGAGCACAGCAGGAAGGCCUGCUGUAGGAAGAGGAAGGACUUAAGGGGGAGGACUUCCAGGCAGGGAGGAGAGGGAGGAAUUGGGCAAUUUUGUAUGAGGGACUGAAACUGAGGCCAAAUAUCACCAUUUCAGUCUUGACAUUUAUCUGGAAUCAGGAUGUGCACACCAUCAAACCAUGUGACUUGGCACUACAAGAAGAUUUUGUUUUCUUUGCACUGAUUGUUGACAGUAUGUGAGGCCCAACCUACAUCAGAUCUUGGGACUGUGGGAGAAAGCUGCAGACAGCUGAGUUACAUCCAUGAUGUCUCUAUGUCAAUGAAUUAACCUACUCUGAAACUGUCCUACCUCCAGACUUCACGUGAUGCAAAUAAUAAAUAUUCUUCUUGUUUAAGCCAC